GCGGGGUUGCUCUAGCCUGGUAGGAGGCAGGCCUGCUAAGUCUGUGGUCCAUUGGGCCGCGAGGGUUCAAAUCCCUCACCCCGCGCCA
Molecule: transfer RNA, 88 nt
Filed under: miscellaneous Crenarchaeota group-6 archaeon AD8-1
Lineage: Archaea; Thermoproteati; Candidatus Bathyarchaeota; Bathyarchaeia (SeqCode)
Also listed under: 2 other names
Description: tRNA-Ser
Rfam family: tRNA
About the family: Transfer RNA (tRNA) molecules are approximately 80 nucleotides in length. Their secondary structure includes four short double-helical elements and three loops (D, anti-codon, and T loops).
Source: RNAcentral